ACGGGAGGCAGCAGUGGGGAAUAUUGCACAAUGGGGGAAACCCUGAUGCAGCGACGCCGCGUGAGUGAAGAAGUAUUUCGGUACGUAAAGCUCUAUCAGCAGGAAAGAAAAUGACGGUACCUGACUAAGAAGCCCCGGCUAACUACGUGCCAGCAGCCGCGGUAAUACGUAGGGGGCAAGCGUUAUCCGGAUUUACUGGGUGUAAAGGGAGCGUAGACGGUAAGGCAAGUCUGAAGUGAAAUGCCAGGGCUCAACCCUGGAACUGCUUUGGAAACUGUCCUACUAGAGUGCAGGAGAGGUAAGUGGAAUUCCUAGUGUAGCGGUGAAAUGCGUAGAUAUUAGGAGGAACACCAGUGGCGAAGGCGGCUUACUGGACUGUAACUGACGUUGAGGCUCGAAAGCGUGGGGAGCAAACAGGAUUAGAUACCCUGGUA
RNAcentral lists this ribosomal RNA (434 nucleotides) under uncultured Lachnospiraceae bacterium. RNAcentral describes it as "partial 16S ribosomal RNA". It matches the Rfam family "Bacterial small subunit ribosomal RNA", at positions 341 to 792 of the family's 1533-position model. Lineage: Bacteria; Bacillati; Bacillota; Clostridia; Lachnospirales; Lachnospiraceae. The record is from RNAcentral.